Molecule: unclassified non-coding RNA, 659 nt
Filed under: Arthroderma quadrifidum
Lineage: Eukaryota; Fungi; Ascomycota; Eurotiomycetes; Onygenales; Arthrodermataceae
Description: sequence contains 18S rRNA gene, ITS1, 5.8S rRNA gene, ITS2, 28S rRNA gene
Rfam family: 5.8S ribosomal RNA (bases 285-438)
Source: RNAcentral
GUAACAAGGUUUCCGUAGGUGAACCUGCGGAAGGAUCAUUAAAGCGUUGCCGACGUCGGCCCCGGCCGUUCGGCUUGAAAUAUAGCCUGGACGGUGCUGGAGGUCGCCGGCAGUUGCCCAUUCUUGCCUACUGACCCAGUUGCCUCGGCGAGCCGUGCCACUCGUGGCAGACCGGAAGCCGUUUGAACCCCUAGGGCUCAGGCGGCCCUGGCCAGUGCCCGCCGACGGACAGACUUAAAAUCUUUAUAUAUUGGCCGUCUGAGCGUAUAAAGCAAAUCAAUUAAAACUUUCAACAACGGAUCUCUUGGUUCCGGCAUCGAUGAAGAACGCAGCGAAAUGCGAUAAGUAAUGUGAAUUGCAGAAUUCCGUGAAUCAUCGAAUCUUUGAACGCACAUUGCGCCCCCUGGUAUUCCGGGGGGCAUGCCUGUUCGAGCGUCAUUGCAACCCUCAAGCUCGGCUUGUGUGAUGGGCGACCGUCCUUCCCCUAGGGGCGGGACGCGUCCGAAAAGCAGUGGCUAGGCCGCGAUUCCGGCGCCUGAGCGAAUGGGACUUCCACCGCUUCUAGGACCGGCCGGCACUUGGCCUUUAAACACGGUCUUAACUGACCAUCUAGGUUGACCUCGGAUCAGGUAGGGAUACCCGCUGAACUUAAGCAUAUC